AACGAACGCUGGCGGCAUGCCUAACACAUGCAAGUCGAACGAGACCUUCGGGUCUAGUGGCGCACGGGUGCGUAACGCGUGGGAACCUGCCCUUAGGUUCGGAAUAACUCCCCGAAAGGGGUGCUAAUACCGGAUAAUGUCUUCGGACCAAAGAUUUAUCGCCUUUGGAUGGGCCCGCGUUGGAUUAGCUAGUUGGUAGGGUAAAAGCCUACCAAGGCGACGAUCCAUAGCUGGUCUGAGAGGAUGAUCAGCCACACUGGGACUGCGACACGGCCCAGACUCCUACGGGAGGCAGCAGUAGGGAAUAUUGGACAAUGGGCGAUAGCCUGAUCCAGCAAUGCCGCGUGAGUGAUGAAGGCCUUAGGGUUGUAAAGCUCUUUUACCCGGGAUGAUAAUGACAGUACCGGGAGAAUAAGCUCCGGCUAACUCCGUG
This 433-nucleotide ribosomal RNA is filed under the name uncultured bacterium. Its description in RNAcentral is "partial 16S ribosomal RNA". It matches the Rfam family "Bacterial small subunit ribosomal RNA", at positions 29 to 507 of the family's 1533-position model. The record is from RNAcentral.